RNAcentral lists this long non-coding RNA (16465 nucleotides) under Nicotiana benthamiana. RNAcentral describes it as "long non-coding RNA (NBEN_LNC021779)". The record is from RNAcentral. Lineage: Eukaryota; Viridiplantae; Streptophyta; Magnoliopsida; Solanales; Solanaceae.
GUCACACAGGACUCCUGAUGCAAGCCUCCACUUUGACCACCCCGCUCCUAUACGAUGAGUGACGUCCCCGUCAAUCUCUCCGUCCCCCUGAAAUACCGACCCAAGAUAUCUGACACUGUCCCUCUUGGCAAUGACCUGAGAUCCAAUCAUCACGUCCCUGCCUACUUCGCUCGGCUCAGCGCUAAGCUUCGCUCGGCUCUAGGUUGCCUACUAUUAAUACUCAAUUUUGUCCUCUUAAGAUUUCAUUCACCCUCGUUUGGCUGUGCAUAUUUUAUAAUAUUUUGAGUACUAUUUUAUUGCAAUUUCUUGAUAUUCCCCUCUAUUACAUGUUUAAAUAUUAAUUUUGCCAUCUACUAUUACUUUUGGCAUUGUUAUAGUAGAUUGAUAUACAAAUAAUUUGGUUUAUGUAGUUCUAUGGUUAUUUUGGUAAAUAAAUUAUUUAAUUUAGUAUUUCUAUAAAUAUUAAUGUAAUAUCAUAUUUUCAAACUAUUUAUGAUUAAUAAAUUAAAUGGCUCUCUUAUAUUUUGUCGAUCCGGAAUCCCACCAUCGAAACUAUGAUGGCGCCCAACAUUCACUUGUUAGGUAAGCCAAUAUUAGCUAGAUUACUUAACCAACUUUAACAAUUUAAAAUAAAGCAUUAAUAAAAAUAAACCGAAAUAGUCUGAGACGAUAUCCAAACAUAUUCCGGAAUCCGGAGUUGAGAAUACAUGAGCAACUAGAGUACUACACAUAUGGUGUGAAGCAAAUACAAUUGUUUAAGACUAGAUAAACAAUCGAAUAGAUAAAGAAGAGGACUUCAAGACAGCGGACGCUAUGCAACUAUAUCUUAAGUCUCCAAAAAUAGCUGAAUUCGAGCAGAACACCACUAGACGCCGCUGGGAUCAACAUCAGUAUUUAUAUAACAAGUACAAAUUAUAGCAUGAGUAUAACCGACCUAAUGUACUCUGUAAGUGUCGAGCCUAACCUCGAUAGAAAAAUGAUGAGGCUAUGACAAGACACCAACAUAGGAUCCUACACACAUACACACAUACAUAUAUAUAUAUAUGUGUGUGUGUGUGUGUGUGUGUGUGUGUAUAGCAACAAAAUAACAAGUAGAACAAUAAAAUAUUAACUGGAAGGGAACAUGUGAAAGGAAAAAUAUCAUAAGGACACAGGAACAAUAUCACCAAAUAGCAUCUUCCGAAAUAAGCAACAAUGUAGCCAAGUAAAGCACCAAUCCAGAAUCAUUAAGGCAGCAAAAUAAAGAUGACACGACACCACCCUUCGUGCUUUUAUUCUCAACCUCCCAUAAUAUGAUAAGUGAUGUUAAAUAAUCAAAUGCAUGGAAUCACCCUUUGUGAUUUAAUUCUCACAACCUCUCAAUAUAUAAUAAUGAAUGCAAAUAAGGCACGGAAACAUCCUUGUGCUUCUCACUCAUCCUCACCAAGCGACAAAAUAAAGCUAAAUAACAUAUGCAAGGCGGGAUUCAAUUAAUUAUAGUGUCGUGAUAACAAAGUCAAUUUUUAAAAUUCCUAACAUAUUCAAAAUGUAAAAGGACUUAAACUGCUCUUAUUGUUUAGUAAAUGGUUUAUUUUCACCCUCCAUCUAUCUAUCUGUCCAAAAAUAUAUACCACGUUAUUUUUAUUAAUAAAAUUGUCCCUCCUUUUAAUAGUGAAACAUGUGGGCCUUCAAAUUAAUGUGAUGACAUGUUUUUAUUGGGCCACGUGGCUCUACGUUCAGAAAUCAAAUAAGGCUACAAUAUCCGCCCAUUAAACGAACCCGACCUAUUUUUUAAACCCCCUUUACCCUUGUAUCUUUCUCAUUUUGACUAACCAAAUUAAAUCUUCUCAACCGUAAUACACCUUUUCCAGCAACCUUUUUCUCCCUCCAUUUUGUUUCUUAUUAUCACUUCUCCAUGAGUCUUUGAGUGUGGUGAUCUUGAAUACAUGGUGCAUCUAUUAAUUGAUUUUGUUAACGUAAUAAAACUCAUAUUCUCUUGUAUUCAGUAAUUCUUGUUGUGGAUGAAAAUUUUGAUUUACCAGAAAAUAUUGGCCUGAAAUUUUGCGGAUUUGUCACCACAAAAAGUAGCAUGAAGCAAGAGAGAAGCAGAAAAAAAUAAUUAAAUUUGUAUGGCAACAGUCAUGGUUUCUCUAUGUUCUUUUCUGAUUAUUUCUUUGGAAAAUAGCAAGUUUAUUCAUUCACAGUAUUCAAAGCUUUUAGUGGGUUUAAGGACCCAUUUUACUAAGGAAAGCAAAUAUUUCCCUACAUAUUCUUUAUGUAAGCAUAUUUUGUAUGUGUCUAUGUAAUACUCACUUUUUGAUCAUAAUUUAAAUACAUAAAUUUUACUUCUUUAAUUUUUCAUAGUUACAGGUGAAGAUAUCUUUAUUGAGUAAAGAGGGUGUGGUGGGCAAUUACUUGAUUGGAAGUGAUGGAGGAGAAAUUAGGUAUUUAGCUACAUUGACAGAAUCAAGAGAAGGUGAUGCAUUUAAUUUUUAAUCUGGAUAAUAAAAGAGGUCGGCUACCCAUAUUUAAUUUCUGAAUGGGAGAGCCAUGUGGCCCAGUAAAAAUAUGCCAGCACAUUAAUUUGAAGGCCCACAUGGUGCACCGUUAAAAGGAGGGUCAAUUUUAUUAAUAAAAAUAACGUGUUAUAUAUUUUUGGACAGAUAGAUGGAUGGAGGAUAAAAAUACAUAUUUAACAAACAAUAGGGAUAGUUUAGGCCCUUUUCCGUAUUCAAAAUAAACAAUAUCUAUGAGGCGAAUAAUUAAAUAGAAUAAUCUACAUAAGCAUGGAGAACAUAUUCAAUGAAAUAAUAUAACACAAAGAAACAAUCUCCAGCCGCAUGUUUUAACCCAAUGAAAAUGCAUAUAUACUCGUCACAUUACAUAUACGUCGUCCCCGUAUAUAAUACACGUAGAGAAUAGAACAACAAGUCCUAAUCCCUCUAGUCAGAGUUAACCAUGACACAUAACUCAUUCAUAAUCAAUUCAAGGUACAACUGCGACUCUUCCUUUCGAAUUAGCCUCCAAACCGACCAAAUCUAACAGAACUCAUAGAUUAAAGGUUAAAAUCAAUGGGCGUUUAUGAAAAACAUAAUGAAACAAGUUAAAAUGUAAUAACCAAUGAAAUGGGAAAGAAAAACCUCUUCAAAAUCGCCUCAACGCCGAGCUCAAACUUGAAAAUGGUGAAAAAUGAAGAAAAUCCCGACUUUGGAAUGUUUUAAAUCAUUAGGGUUAGGUGUUCCUCGUGUUCGCGAAGCACCUUACACGAUCGCUAAGCACAGUGGCCAAAAGGCCUUCGAGUUCACAAGCUACCCUUCAAGUUCGCGAAGGUUUACUCCCCAAGCCUUCACGUUCGCGAGCCAAGGAACGUCAUGAAAGUAACGGACACCCCCCCUCCCUAGAUCUUCACAAGCUUCAUGUUUACAAAAGGUAAACCCUCUCUACCUCGUGUUUGCGAAGAAGAAAUUUCACUGCAGCUCAACUUUCCCUUUGCGAUCCCGAGAGUAGCUUUUCAACCGGGAGAGUAGCUUUGCGAUUGUGUAGCACAAAGUACCAGACACUAGCAAUAACUGAACACUAGCAAAUUUCUACGCCCAAAAUGGUAUGUAGCCUAUCUAAAACUCACCUGAGCCUCUUAGGCUCCAAACAAACAUGAACACAAUAUUAAUAAUAUCAUACAAACUCGCUUGGUGCAGUCAAAACACCAAAAUAACACCUAGAACUACGAAUUAGAUGUCAAAAUGCAUGAAACUUCAAAGAAAACUCAAGAACUUCUAAACUCACAACUAAGAAUUAGAAUCCUAUCAAACCAACAUCGCUCAAAAUGUGUAGACAAGUUUUAAAUAGCAAAACAAACCUAUACCAAGUCCUAGAACUAAAACCCGAAUGUCCUAACCAUAAAAUCAACAUACAGUCAAAUCUAGGAAUUAUCAAACCUUCAAAUUACUAGCUUUCUACAAAACAAGUCAAAUAAUGUUAGGGAGUUUUGAAUUUAUCUCCAGGCAUACAUCUAAGUCCAAAAUCACGAUACAGAUCCACCAAAAUUGUCAAAAUACCGAUCCAGAGUUGUUUAUACAAAAUGUUGACCGUAGUCAACUUAAGUUGUUUUUAAACCAAAAAUCAUAUUUUCUUAAAAUUUUCAAAUAAAAUCUUUCCAAAAAGACACAGAUUGUGCACAUAAAUCGAGAAAUACUAAACGCAGCUAAUAGAGGUAUCAAAACAUAGAAAUAAGGGUUAGUACUGAAAACGGUCUUCGGAUCAUCACAUUAUCUACCUCUAAAAGAAACGUUUGUCUUCGAUUGGAAAUAAAAAAGUACCAGGACUAGUGAAAAGUUGUGGGUAUCUACUCAGCAUAUUAGACUCGGACUCCCACGUAGCUUCCUCAAUCAGCUGACCUCUCUAUUGCACAUUACUAUAAUGAUAACUCUUAGACCUCAACAUUUGGACUUGCUGGGCUAGAAUAGCCAUCACUCCUCCUCAUAAGUCAAAUCCUUGUCCAAUUGGAAUGAGCUGAAUUCCAAUACAUGGGACAGAUCACCAUGAUACUUUCAGAGUAUGGAAAUAUGGAACACCAGAUGAACUACCAAUAAGCUGGGUGGUAAUGCGAAUCCGUAGGCCACCUCACCAACUCUCUCAAGGAUCUCAAAAGGACUAAUACACCUAGGGCUCAACUUGCCAUUAUUUCUACACCUCAUCACACCUUUCAUAUAUGAAACCCUAUGAAAAAACCUCUUUCCCACCAUGAAUGCUACAUCACGAGCCCUCAGAUUAGCGUAACUCUUAUGCCUAAACUAGGUUGUACGAAGCCGAUCUUGAAUCAACUUGACUUUCUCUAAGCAUAGCCUCUACUAGCUCAAACCAACCAACUGGAGAAUGACAUUGCCUCAUAUGUAAGGCCUUACAAGGAGCCAUCUGAAUACUCAAUUGGUAGUUAUUAUUGUAGGAAAACUUCGUAAGUAGUAAGAACUGAUCCUAAGAACCCCCAAAAUUCGUAACACAAUCACAUCACAUGUCCUCCAAGAUUUGAAUUGUAUGCUCGGGAUGCCCGUCUAUCCGGGGUUGAAAUGAUGUACUCAACUCAACCCGUGUACCUAACUCCCGCUAUAUAGUUCUCUAGAAAGGUGAUGUGAAUUGUGUGCCUCAUUCGGAGAUAAUAGACACUGAUACACUGCUGAGACGAACAAUCUCCGAGAUAUAGAUUUAAUCCAACUGCUCUAAAGAAUAGGCAGUCACCACCAGAAUGAAAUUUGCCAACUCAGCCAACCUAUCCACAAUGACCCAUACUACGUCAACUUUAUUCAAAGUCCAUUGGAGCCUAACAAUGAAAUCUAUGGUAAUAUGCUCCCACUUCCACUCGGGAAUCUCAAGUCUUUCAAGUAAUCAAACGUGGAUCUAAUGCUCGUACUUCACGUGCUGAAAAUUUAAAUAUCGAGCCACAUACUCCACUAUAUCUUUCUUCAUUCAUAUCUACCAAUAGUGUUGCUUUAAAUCUUGAUACAUCUUGGCAGCACCCAGAUGAAUGGAAUACCGUGAACUGUGAGCUUCCUCAAGAAUCAAUUCACAUAACCCAUCCACAUUGGGCACUCUGUCGCGCCUUAUUUUCUCGCGAGAAUGGGUUUUGAUGUGUGACAACUCUUUUAAAGUGAGGUAUUAAAAGAGAAGAGUCUCUACCUAACGAUUUUAAGGUGUGUUAGGACACCUAUUUGUGAAUAACUCUAUUUGAUAGUCAACGCCACCAAAGAUCGUUAAGGACUCAAAUUACUUCAACGAUAAGGUGUUAGGCACACUUCGAGGUCCACAACUAUGGGUCCUGGUCAAAUUUUAAACUAUGUGGAUUAUGUAAUUAAGCUAGGUGAUCAAAUAAGCAAAGAAAAAUAUGGAGAUUGAAAUUCUUAUUAUAACACAUAAAAAUAAAUAAUCGGUACAAAUCUUAAAGAUUACAAGUGUACAACUGCAUUGGCCUAUGUUAAAUGACCAAGUGUAGAUGGCAAGUAUAUAAAUAAAUGGGGGUCCUAAGUUUAUUAUCCUAAAGGAUCACCCCGUGUAACAUAAAUAAUACUUCACAACUGCUUAAGGUAGGGGUUGCUCGUAUUAUUCGGCGGGCAUAAAUUAUCAUCUCUUGCUACCCUAUUACUAUGUUGAAGUUGUUACUUAAAGGCGUUCUAGUUCAAUUCUAAAUCGUAUCAUAUGUGUGCACUACCCAUCCCAUGCUUAUGGUCCAUGAGGCUUUGGACCUACUACUAGGUGGUUCUAGACUCAACUUAGGCUGCUCAAAAUGAUAAAUCCAAGCGACAUUAAAAACAUAUAGGACUUCACAUAAAGGCAAUUAAAGACCCAAGUUACCCUCCACACAUAAACAACAAAUGCACGCAUGUAGUUUAGGCAGUAGAUAGUUUCAAAAUUAAGACUUAGAGUCCUAUAGGCGUUGUUUCUAGAUGAUUCCAGUAUUGCAUAUGCAACGUUAGUGUUCUCUCUACAUAGUUUAGGCUAGGAGGCGGUAAACUGUUGCAAACUAAGAAUUAUCUGUGUUGACUUUACAAAUAGCCAUCUUAGGCUGGUGACACUGUCCUAUAGGCAUGAUUUCUAGUAGUGGAAUAACUUAGGAAAUGAAACAGCCUUGAAAGUCUAGAAUUAACAAUGCUGAUCUCCUAAACAAUUUUAAGCAAGUGACAACAUCCUAUAGGCGAGAUUUCUAACAAUUGACAAUUAGACAUAAUUUUUAUAACACAUUAUUCCUAUAGGCAUAUCAUCUACGUGGGGCAAUGUAAUGAAAACAAUAGAAGUAGUUGACUAGAAGAUUAUAAUCCUAUUGUCAUGAUAUCUAGAUAGGCAAUACACUAAAAGUAAUAGAAGCAAUUGACCGUUGAUUAUUCGAAGUCCUAUAGGCAUGGUAGAUAGGUUAACAAAAUCAAGUUAUACAUCUUAUAGGCAUGUUGUCUAAAUGCACAGUAAUAUCAUAUAAAUCAAGUAUAUCGAUUACUAACAUGUUUGAGAUAGUGUACGAGCAUUAGAAAAAUUAGGUGAGGUGUGCAGACAACACAAAAUGUAGUGUGGCCGCAGUGGCAAACUUCAGAGAGUUGUAUUUUUACUCUUUCUUUAGUGCGGUCCGCACAUAAUGGACUGCAGCCGCACUGAUAACUUCAUAGACCUGAUCAUUUUUCCCCACUAUGUCCUGCAUUGCAUCAACCCAAUCCUGUAACAUCUCACAACCAGUCAGCCCAAAUAUCAAUCCUACACUACAAUGAAAAUCAAAUAAAAAGAAGAACAAAAACACAUGGGUUGCCUCCCAAGAAGUGCCUGAUUUAACAUCGCGGCACGACGUAUGUUACCAUCCAAUCAUUUGAAAUGAUCAACAGCCACCGUAUGGUUAUCAUCAAACUUCCCCAAAUAGUGUUUGACUUUAUGCCCAUUCACUCUAAAAACUUCCCCACGUUUGUUCUUUAAAUCAAGAGCACCAAAAGGGUUCACAUACACCACUUCAAAUGGUUCGCUCCACUUUAACUUUAGCUUUCUCGGGAACAACCUUAGCUGAGAAUUGAAUAAGAGCACAAAAUCUCCCACCUUGAACUCGUUUACCCAAGUAUAUUUGUCAUGAAGGUAUUUCAUUUUAUCCUUAUAGAGGGAUGAACUAGAGUAGGCAUGGAACCUAAAUUCAUCAAGUUCAUUGAGUUGUCCACCCGAAGCAGCUAUAUCCCAAUCAAGAUUCAACUUCUUUAAGGCCCACAUGGCCUUAUGCUCUAGCUCUACUGGUAGAUGACAUGCUUUCCCAAAUACCAAUCGGUACGGCGACAUACCAAUUGGAGUCUUGUAAGCAGUUUGGUAAGUCCAUAGAGCAUCAUCCAACUUUUUAGACCAAUCGGUCCUAUUGGGAUUGAUGGUUUUGGACAAAAUUCUCUUGAUCUCCCUAUUGGACACUUCCACCUGGCCACUUGCUUGAGGAUGAUAAGGCGUAGACACUUUGUAGUUGACACCACACUUGAAAAGCAAGGCAUCAAAAGCUCUAUUACAAAAAUGCAAUCCUCAAUCACUAAUAAUUGCCCAAGGAGUGCCAAGCCUUGUGAAAAUGCUCCUAUUUAGAAAUUCCACCAUACUCGUAGCUUCAUUGUUGGGCAAGGCAAUGGCCUCAACCCAUUUUGAGACAUAAUCAACCGCUACAAGAAUGUAUUUCUGCAUGAACUUACAAAAGGGUCCAUAAAAUCGAUACCCUAUACAUCAAAGGUAUCCACUUUGAGAAUGGCAUUUAGAGGCAUCUCAUCUUUCUUGGAAAUACCGCCCGCUCUUUGACAUUAAUCACACCUUUUUACGAGAUCACUUGCAUCUUUGAACAAGGUUGGUUGAUAAAAAUCACAACUCAGAACUUUUGAAGUUGUCCUCUCCCCUCCAUGAUGGCCGCCAUAGGAGAGGAAUAACAAGCCUCUAGGAUGCUAAAUUGCUCCUCCUUAGGUACACACCGCCAGAUGACUCCGUCGGUGCAAAUCUUGAACAAGUAUGGCUUGUCUCAAUAGACUAUCCCGUUUGAGCUUCUUCCUUUGGUUAGAAGAGAGCUCACACGGAAUGAUGUGUCACAAGGAAAUUAGCAAUGUCUGUAAACCAUGGAAUAUCACUCAUCGACACAAAAAGUAGCUACUCAACGGGAAAUGCAUCAUUGAUCUCUAGGUCAUCACAUGGCCUUCCUUCCUCCUCCAAGCAGAACAAAUGAUUCGGCACUUGGUUUUUCUUACCUUUCCGGUCAACUAUCUCCAAAUCAAAAUCUUGAAAUAAUAAGACUCAUCACAUUAGUCUAGCUUUGGAGUAUUUCUUUGUCAUCAUGUAUCUAAAGGCUGCAUGAUCGGUGUGCACUAUGACUUUGGCUCCCAUAAGAUAUGGCCGAAAUGUUUCCAUUGCGAACACAAUAGCCAACAAUUCUUUCUCAGUUACUGUGUAGUUCCUUUGAGCUUCAUUCAUUGUUUUUAUUUCAUAGUACACCAGAUAAAAUAGUUUGUUCACUCUUUGACCAAAAACAUCCCCAACCACAACAUCACUCGCGUCGCACAUGAGCUCGAAAGGCAAGCUCCAAUUAGGUGCGUUAAUGAUUGGGGUAGUGGUCAACUUAAUCUUGAGAAGUUCAAAGGCUUGCAUACAUCUCUUAUUAAACACAAACUUUGUAUUCUUUUCUAGCAACUUACACAAAGGAUUAACUACCUUCGAAAAGUCCUUGAUAAGUCGUCGGUAGAACCCCGCAUAUCCAAGAAAGUUUCUAACCCCCUUAACAAAAGUGCGGGGGGGAGGGGGGAGGGAGGAAGUCUUGAAAUCACCUCAAUUUUAGCGUUGUCAAUCUCAAUACCAUUCUUUGAAAUUUUAUGACCCAAAACUAUGCCCUCUUCAACCAUGAAGUGGCAUUUUCUCCAAUUUAGCAUAAGAUUUGUGUCUUCACUCCGGGCCAAAACUCUAUCCACAUUGUUCAAACACUCAUCAAAUGAAUCUCCUACAACACUGAAGUCGUCCAUGAACACCUUCAAAAUAUCUUCCACCAUAUCAGUGAAAAUGGCCAUCAUACACCGUUGGAAUAUUGCCGGUGUAUUGCAUAACCCAAAUGGCAUCCGAGAGAAAGCAAAGGUGCCAUAUGGACAAGUAACGGUUGUCUUCUUCCGAUCCUCGUGAGCCAUCAAAAUUUGAUUGUACCAUGAAUAACCAUCCAAGAAACAAUAUAAGGCACGCCCACAAGACGAUCAAGCAUCUAGUCUAUGAAGGGUAAUUGGAGAUGAUCCUUGCGGAUCACCUUGUUCAGCUUGCCGCAGUCCAUGCAUACUCUCCAUUCGGUCACUGUCCGAGCUAGAAUAAGUUACCACGGUCAUACCACCCUUCUUCGGCACACAUUGCACCGGAGAAGUUCAUGCGCUGUCAAAGAUAGGAUACACCACACCGGUAUCUAACCACUUGAUCACCUCUUUUUUUACAACUUCUUGCAUAGCCUCGUUCAACCUCCUUUGAUGUUCCAAGGAGGGUUUUGCAUCAUCUUCCAGAAUAAUUUUGUGUAUACAGAACGCGAGGCUUAUUCCUUGAAUAUUAGCUAGAGUCCAUCCAAUUGCCUUUUUCUACUUUUUGAGCAUAGCCAAUGUGGAAUCUACUUGCAUGUUAGUAAAGAAAGAGGAAAGAAUAACUGGUAAAGUUGAAUAGCCCAGGAAUCCAUACCUGAGGUGUGGAGGUAAUGGCUUCAAUUCCAACACCGGAGGUUCCUCAAUUGAAGGCUUUAUUAGAGGGGUCUUUCUAUUUUCAAGAUCCAAAGAGAGUUUCCUAGGCUCAUAAGAAUAAGAUCCUAUUCCAUGUAAAGCAUUCACGCACUCCACUCGGCCCAUAUCAUCAUUGAUGUCAAGAUUCAACAAUACGACCUCCAAAGGUUCCUCAACAUUGAUCAUUUCACUAGUAUCAUCUAUUAUCACAGUCGAGACUAGAUCCACAAAUGAGCAUACUUAUGUACAAUUGGGCUGCUUCAUUGAUUUGCACAUAUGAAAAGCGACCUUUUCAUCACCCACUCUGAAAGUAAGUUCCCAUGCUUCCACAUCUACUAGAGCCUUUCCCGUAGCAAGGAAAGGUCUCCCCAAUAUGAUCGAAGCUUCAUAGUCUACCUCACAAUCCAAGAUCACAAAAUUAGCUGGCAAGAUAAAUUUGUACACCCAGACAAGCACAUUAUCAACUAUACCCAAUGGUUGCUUCAUUGAUCUAUCUGCCAUUUACAAUCUCAUGGAAGUUGGCCUUGGUGGACCAAUGCCCAAAGUUUUGAAAAUUGAGUAGGGCAUCAAAUUGAUACUAGCCCCUAGGCACAAAGCUUUAGCAAAGUUUGCACUCCCAAUAGUGCAAAGGAUUGUGAAAGCACCGGGAUCCUCAAACUUUGGAGCCAUUGAAUGUACUAUAGACCUAACUUGGUAGGUCAUCUUGAUAGUUUCACAGUCCAUGGAUCUUUUCUUUGUAACUAAAUCUUUCAUGAAUUUAACACAGCCAGGCAUUUGCUCCAAAGACUUUACCAAAUGCACAUUGAUGAAUAGGCUUUUCAUCAUGUUAAUGAACUUUUUAAGCUGAUUCUCAUUCUUCUCCUUGGCUAGCCUUCAAGGAUAAGGUGGAGGGGGCGUAGGCAAGGGUGCCUUGGCUUUUGGCACAACCAGCUCCGGCAUGUCAAUUACAUGUUCCCUAGAGGGGUUCAUGUCAUUUUGCAUUUCCACCUCGGCAUCUUGAAUAGCAAUCCUCACUUCUUGAUUCAGAUUCUCAUCAACAACAUUCUCAACCACCAAUAGAACUUCAUCUUCUAGCAACUCAACUUCAUCACGCAAAACUUGCUUUUGUUUGGAGGCAUUCACAUUACCGUCUCUUCCACUCCUUGUAGUUACCUCCAUAACAUGAUUGUUCCCACCAUUCGGGUUCACUACCGUUUCACUUUUGUAGAGCACCCUUAGGGCGUGUAUUCAAGGACUGAGAGAUUUGACGUAGUUGCACCUCCAAAUUCUUAAUUGAAGUAUUGUGAGAAGCCAAUUGCGCAUCAAAAUCCACAUUCUUUUUCAUAAUUUGUCUGAACAUCAUUUCAAUUCUACCCAUUUCAUUGUUGGAUGAACUAGGACCCUAGGAUGGAAAAGGAGGUGGAUAGUUCGAUUGCUGGUACAUUGGGGGCCUUUGAAAGCCUUGCCCCUGAUUUCUUUGGUUAUUGUUCCAUCCAUCUUGGUUGUUGUUGUUUCCACCCUAAUUGUUGUUGUUUCCCUAUUUUCCUUGAUUGUUCCGAUUGUUAUUUUGAUUUUCCCAGUUGUUGUUCCCUUGAUGUUGAUUAUUCCAAUUAUUGUUGCCUUGUUGUUGAUUUUUCCAAUUACCCUGGGAUCGCUAUUGUUGUUGUUGGUUGGAAGAAUUGCCUUUUUGUCCUUGGUAAUUAUUCACAUAUUGCACCUCUUCAUUCUUCCCAUCAUAAUAAUCAUCUUGGAAUCCAGUACAAUAUUGUCAAAUUGAUCUGAAUUCUCUUGGUUCUGUUGACCUCUCUAUCUUCUAUUGUUCACAAGCAUGUUAACACCAUCCAUGGCAUUCACUUAGCAAGGAUUCUGAACUUGUUGCAACUGUGCCUUUGCUAAUUGAUUCAUUUUGUUGUAAGUUCUGCUAUUGCAUGUCCAUGGUCAUGUAGUUCCUUGUGCAAACGAGUGACCGCGCGGUCACCCUGAGGCACAUUGGCUCUACUUUGCCAAGAGGAGGACGUGUCAGCCAUUUCAUUAAUAAUCUUAUAAGCUUCAUCAUAAGGAAGUUUUAUGAAAUCACCCCCACAUUUACUAUGCAUCGAGUCAUUGUAUUGAUGCCCCGAUAGAAGGUUUGUUGUAUCACUGCCUAUGUCAUAUCAUUGUUGGGGAAUUCCUUCACUAUAGUUCUAUAUCACUCCCAAAUAUCAUGCAAUGGUUCGGUAAGCUCCUUCUUGAAGGCUAAGAUCUCAUCUUGUAGUGCUGCCAUGUGCCCUGGUGAGAAAAAUUUGGCAAUGAACUUAUCUGCCAACUCAUCCCAAGUUGUGAUGGAAUGAUUGGGAAGUCGCUCAAGCCAAUCCAAUUCUUUCCCCCUAAGUGAGAAAGGAAAAAACCUCAAUCGAAGUGUAUCCUCAGACAUAUUGGUUUGCUUGCUUCCCCAACAGGUAUCUAUGAACCAUUUGAGAUGUUUGUAAGCAUUCUGAGUGGGAGCACCCGAAAAGUACUCAUGCUGCUCAAACAAUGUCACCAUCGCGUUGGAAAUUUGAAUAUUUCCUGCCCGGAUCCAGGGAGAAACAAUUGCCCUCGCAUAGCCUUGGUUGGGAAGAACUCUAGGAUCCACCCUUGGAGGUGGCGGAGGAGGGUCUGGAAUAUUGUUAUUUGCAUUGGCCUGUCGGCCUCUACAUUAUCCUUGAGGUACAAGAGGCACCUCUUCAUCUCUAUCGUCAUCUACCUCCUCCUCACGUUCACAUUUCCAAGACGGUCAUUAGCAUUUAAAGCCAUUUUUGUACCUGAAGUAUUGACACACACAAAUUAGUAACAAAAAAGAAAGAAGAACCAAACAUGAAUCUAUCUAGAUAGAUAGCCAAAACUGUUAGCUCCCCGACAACGGCGUCAAAAAGUGAUCGCGGCCUACUCUGCACUAUUAAUUAAGUAGGAAUGGAGGGUCGGAGCAGCUUUUACCCGAUUUAGGGUCGGGAUCAAUAUCCACAGAGAGAUAGAAUUUGGAAUUGAGUAUCUAUCUAGUGUAGAGUUACGUAUGUGUUCCAAAUUACAAUUCUAUUUAUUUUUGUGUUUACUUCUAAUAUUAUAAAGCUACAAAUGGUAAAUGAAACUAGAUUAAGCUAAUAGUUAUAAUGUUACGGGUUGUUCAGAUGGUUUAAAAGGCACUAGGGUAGUGACUUCCGCCUAAGUGAUCAAUUGACGGGUACUUGAAUCAAAGGCACGUUUGGCAUAUUUGGGGAGUAUGAUAUAACCGUUGCACGACUUUACCCACUCUACACCUCUCGGUGGUUCGAGUGAUUUUGUCCGCAUUGACUUUCUCAAGACCAAUUGGGUAUGUAAAUAUGCACAAGCAACUACGGUUCAAGUCGGAUAUUACUCUCUCGAGGUUUAACCCUUUAAUUGAGGCUAUCAAUCUCUUGGGUACGCCCCAAUUCCUUGUUGGACCAAUUUUGGAGACUUAGGUUCUCUUUCUCAAGAAGAGCCCAAGCCAACUUAAACACAAACUAGUGUUUGCAACCACUAAUUCAGCAAUUAACCAUGAAAUUUUCCCAAAUAUCAAACUUCCAUAGUCAAUUUAGCCCUAAAAUACAAGAUGCAUCAAUUGUCCAUACUAGGCCUGAAUUGUCUUUCUUAAGACCAACUGGUAUGCAAAUUUGUACAAGCACAAGUCAGAUAUUACUCUCUCGAGGUUUAACCAUUUAAUUGGGGCUAUCAAUCUCUUGAGUAUGCCUCAAUUCCUUGUUGGACCAAUUUCGGAGACUAGGCACUCUUUCUCACAAAGAGCUCAAGUCAACUCAAUACAAACUAGUACUUGCAACCACUAAUUCAGCAAAUUACCAUGAAAUUGGUCCAAAUAACAAACACCCAUAGUCAAUUUAACCCUAAAUUACAAGACCCAUCAAUUGUCCAUGCAAGGGUUGAUCCACAACCCUAACUUAUGGGUCUAGCUACUGAUAUUUAGAGAAAAAAAGCAAGAAAUAGAUGGAGAAAAACUCAUAUUAUUUAAUCACUAAGUUAAACACAAAGAUUCAAUGAUUAAAAGUAGCUAAAAUUUCCCAAAAUAGCUAAGAAUCUCGAACCCAUGAGUGCAGUUGUUUAAUUACAAUAUCUGAUACCUAAAAAUGAAAAAAGAAGCUAUUUAUAUUAGGCUAAAAAUUUGGAUAAAUUCCCCUGCGGGGUUAGUGCGGACUACACAAAAUGGACCGCGAGUCCACACUAGGAUAUGGAGUUGAAAAAUAGCUCUCUGCACCUAGGCAUCGCGGACCGCAAAGAACGGGCUGGGGCCACGGAGGCUUCUAGUGCGGUCGGCACAAAAUGGACAGCGGACCGCAUUGACUUGAAAACUCAAAACUGGCAUUCUCUGAAUCUUGGCUCUGCAGACCGCACAGAAUCAAGUGUGGCCAUAUUAGUCUUAGUGCGGACCGCACAAAUCCUAGUGUGGUCGUAUGUGCGGACCGCACAAAUCCUAGUGUGGUCGUAUUGCCUUUUUGCCUUGGAAUCAACCUCUCUAAAUCUCCUAGUGCGGACCGCACAAAGUGGUGUGCGGAUGCACUGGGCCUAUUUUGCCUGAUUUUAUCUUGUCUUUGGCACUUGUGCAAGUUUCACUCCUUUUGAGCUGAUCUUUGACAUCUUAUCCUUUUGUUGAUCAAACCUGCAAUCAAGUACAACUUGUGAGCCUUUUUGGACCUAUUUGGUAUGAAUUUCUAAUCAAAGCAUAAGCAAGAAGGAAUAUAAAAUGUGUCAAAAUUCCUAGUUAUCAGUUUCCUUAGAGAAGAAGAGAGUAAAAAGGAUUCAAGGGCGACCGCCUCAAAAGAUGGGGCUAGGGUUUGGGCGAGUGGAUAUAAAGAAAGGUGGGGGAUUUAUUAUGGACCAUUGAUCAUUUGAGAAAAACGCCAAGAUCAAAGGGAAACGGGGCGGGUCAUUUACACGGGUGAUGACCGGUUCAUUAAAAGGGUUGUCUGGUUUGGGCUUGGGGAUAUUGGGCUAGGUUUUGGAUCCGAAAAUAACUCAAAAUUGUUCUAAAUAUUUGAAUACAUGAAAACUAUAAAAAAUAAUUUAUAAGAGGUAAUUAAAAAAUAAUUAAAAAAUUAUUUAUGUAGUAAGAUGGUUAAAACUAAUAGUUUACAUUAUAAGAACAUACAACAUUAACUACCCAGUAUAGUCCCACAAAGUGGGGUCUGGGGAGGGUAAUAUCUAGACGGGCCUUACCCCUACACGAAAGGGCAGAGAGGCUAUUUCCAAUCGACCCUCGGCUCGGUGAAGGAAAGGAACAACAAAAACAAAAACAUCAACAAAAGAGCAUUAGUAGCUUCAGCAGAAAUAGCGUAAAUAAUUAUCUAAACAUAAGAACCNNNNNNNNNNNNNNNNNNNNNNNNNNNNNNNNNNNNNNNNNNNNNNNNNNNNNNNNNNNNNNNNNNNNNNNNNNNNNNNNNNNNNNNNNNNNNNNNNNNNNNNNNNNNNNNNNNNNNNNNNNNNNNNNNNNNNNNNNNNNNNNNNNNNNNNNNNNNNNNNNNNNNNNNNNNNNNNNNNNNNNNNNNNNNNNNNNNNNNNNNNNNNNNNAAAAACUCUAGGGGCCCCUAUCCUACAACCCUGAUACUAGACCUCCAGAAUUUCCUAUCAAGGGCCAUGUCCUCAUAAACCCGCAUUCUAGCCAUGUCAUGCCUAAUCAGAUCUCCCCAAUACCUCUUAGGCAUCCCUCUGCCUCGCCGAGCGCCGACCAUCGCCAGCCACUCACAACUCCUCGCCGGGGCGUCAGGACUUCUCCUCCAUACAUGCCCGAACCACCUCAGCCUCGCUUCUCGCAUCUUCGCAUCCACCGGGGCCACCCCCACCUUCUCUCGAAUAACUUCAUUCUUAAUCUUAUCUAACCUGGUGAGCCCGCACAUCCACCUGAGCAUCCUCAUCUCCGUAACCUUCAUCCUCUGAACAUGAGAGUUCUUCACUGGCCAGCACUCCGCCCCAUACAACAUGGCCGGUCUAACUACAACUCUAUAAAAUUUCCCCUUGAGUUUCUGUGGAACUUUAUCGUCACACAGGACUCCUGAUGCAAGCCUCCACUUUGACCACCCCGACCCUAUACGAUGAGUGACGUCCCCGUCAAUCUCUCUGCCCCCCUGAAUCACCGACCCGAGAUAUCUGACACUGUCCCUCUUGGCUAUGACCUGAGAUCCAAUCAUCACGUCCCUGCCUACUUCGCUCGGCUCAACGCUAAACUUACACUCCUGGUAUUCUGUCUUAGAUAUGCUUAUUUUGAAACCCUUAGACUCGAGAGUCUGUCUCCAUACCUCUAACCUCUCAAUAAC